UCCAGGAUGGCCGAGUGGUUAUGGUAUCAGACUUCAGUUCUGAUACAUUUAUGUGUUCGUAGGUUCGAAUCCUACUCCUGAAC
This 83-nucleotide transfer RNA is filed under the name Trichonephila clavata. RNAcentral describes it as "tRNA-Sup". It matches the Rfam family "tRNA". Rfam says of the family: Transfer RNA (tRNA) molecules are approximately 80 nucleotides in length. The record is from RNAcentral. Lineage: Eukaryota; Metazoa; Arthropoda; Arachnida; Araneae; Nephilidae.